AGGUGAAACACGUCACUUCCGGUAGUGACUGAGCCCCGCGGCGCGCGCCGGCUCCGCCAGGAGCGUGGGGUUGCCACGGCAACCAGCGCGGACUGCCCUAGGGAUCCUCCGGAGUAGGAAGCUCCCGCGCCAGCUGCGCUCCGCGUUGGGAUAACAUUUAUUUAUAACUGCUGAUAGACUUUGGUGUUCUCGACAGUUCCAUAUCAGGAGUGAAUUAGAGGAGAGAAGCAGUGUGGUGCAGUGGGUAUUUUAUCCCCCAGCCUUCUAAGAUGGUAACCCAACUGGUGUCUAGAAGAUAAUUGCCUUUGAGGUUGUUUGACUUUCAUGAGAUGAAGCAAUUUCAAGUGUGACUCAUUUUAUCGCCUGG
Long non-coding RNA from Lontra canadensis (Northern American river otter), 367 nucleotides. RefSeq lists it as uncharacterized. Lineage: Eukaryota; Metazoa; Chordata; Mammalia; Carnivora; Mustelidae. The record is from RefSeq and is a predicted model, not a curated record. The transcript is spliced from 4 exons.